GCAACCUGCGAUGGUGUCGGGGCUUGGCUUGGUCAGGUUGGGGGGGGGCGAUGAGAUAUUCCUUGUGGGGAAAUGGAGCUAACGGUGAGAUACCACUCUGGCGAGCUAGAAUCUAACCUGGCACCCUGAUCGGGUGUAGGAACAGUUUCAGGUGGGCAGUUUGACUGGGGCGGUCGCCUCCUAAAAGGUAACGGAGGCGCGCAAAGGUUCUCUCAGCACGCUUGGAAACCGUGCGGCGAGUGUAAAGGCAAAAAGAGAGCUUGACUGCGAGACUGACAAGUCAAGCAGGUAGGAAACUAGGCCUUAGUGAUCCGACGGCACAGAAUGGAAUGGCCGUCGCUCAACGGAUAAAAGUUACUCUAGGGAACCCACGCUGAAAAUCCAACACCAAUUGCGUCCUACUUUGCCGACGACAACCAUCCCCCCCCCCAGUCCCUUUCUUAACU
Molecule: ribosomal RNA, 446 nt
Filed under: Tolypothrix sp. TP01_aks
Lineage: Bacteria; Bacillati; Cyanobacteriota; Cyanophyceae; Nostocales; Tolypothrichaceae
Description: partial 23S ribosomal RNA
Rfam family: Bacterial large subunit ribosomal RNA (bases 1-364)
Source: RNAcentral